This 410-nucleotide ribosomal RNA is filed under the name uncultured microorganism. RNAcentral describes it as "bacterial SSU rRNA". It matches the Rfam family "Bacterial small subunit ribosomal RNA", at positions 9 to 416 of the family's 1533-position model. The record is from RNAcentral.
GAGUUUGAUCCUGGCUCAGAUUGAACGCUGGCGGCAUGCCUUACACAUGCAAGUCGAACGGCAGCAUGAUCUAGCUUGCUAGAUUGAUGGCGAGUGGCGAACGGGUGAGUAAUACAUCGGAACGUGCCCUGUAGCGGGGAUAACUAGUCGAAAGAUUAGCUAAUACCGCAUACGACCUGAGGGUGAAAGUGGGGGACCGCAAGGCCUCAUGCUAUAGGAGCGGCCGACGUCUGAUUAGCUAGUUGGUGGGGUAAAGGCCCACCAAGGCGACGAUCAGUAGCUGGUCUGAGAGGACGAUCAGCCACACUGGGACUGAGACACGGCCCAGACUCCUACGGGAGGCAGCAGUGGGGAAUUUUGGACAAUGGGCGAAAGCCUGAUCCAGCAAUGCCGCGUGUGUGAAGAAGGCC